ACGCUCGACACCUAUGGGAGGCAGCAGUUGGGAAUAUUGGACAAUGGAGGAAACUCUGAUCCAGUGACGCCGCGUGAAGGAAGAAGGUCUUCGGAUUGUAAACUUAUUUUGUCAGGGAAGAAAAAUGACUGUACCUGAAGAAAAAGCACCGGCUAACUACGUGUCAGCAGCCGCGGUAAUCUGAGCGGGCUGGCAAGGC
This 199-nucleotide ribosomal RNA is filed under the name uncultured bacterium. RNAcentral describes it as "partial 16S ribosomal RNA". It matches the Rfam family "Bacterial small subunit ribosomal RNA", at positions 328 to 539 of the family's 1533-position model. The record is from RNAcentral.